Molecule: ribosomal RNA, 440 nt
Filed under: uncultured bacterium
Lineage: Bacteria
Description: bacterial SSU rRNA
Rfam family: Bacterial small subunit ribosomal RNA
Source: RNAcentral
CCUACGGGGGGCUGCAGCAAGGAAUCUUCCGCAAUGGGGGCAACCCUGACGGAGCAACGCCGCGUGGGGGAUGAGGCCCUUCGGGGUGUAAACCCCUUUUCGGUGGGACGAAGACCUGACGGUACCACCGGAAGAAGGACCGGCUAACUACGUGCCAGCAGCCGCGGUAAGACGUAGGGUCCGAGCGUUGUCCGGAGUUACUGGGCGUAAAGGGCGCGCAGGCGGCGGUGCUGGCCCGGCGUGAAAGCCCCCGGCUCAACCGGGGAAGGGCGUCGGGGACCGCACCGCUUGAGGGCGGCAGGGGCUGGUGGAAUGCCUGGUGUAGUGGUGAAAUGCGUAGAGAUCAGGCGGAACACCCGUGGCGAAGGCGGCCAGCUGGGCCGGCCCUGACGCUGAGGCGCGAAGGCGUGGGGAGCGAACGGGAUUAGAUACCCUUGUAG